UGGGGGUAGGUAGUGGGGAGAGGUGGAAAAUGGUGGUUUUUUUUUGGACAAAGGGUUAGUUUGGGAAAUCCUGAGUUAAAUAGACACAUGGAGAUUUCUUAACCACACUUCUUCUCAGAGUGUCAAAUGUGUUAAUGUGCAUCUCCCCAAGGGGCAUAUUACAGGAAGAAUUUCCUAAACCUACUUGACCGCAGAACAUUUCCGAAUGCGGUUGUUUUCUAGUGGGGGAGGAAAGAAAGAUAAUGUGGAGGAAUGUGUGUGCAUGUGCUCAGUCGAUUAGUCGUAUCUGACUCUUUGCGACCCCACAGACUGCAGCAGGCCAGGCUCCUCUGUCCAUGGGAUUCUCCAGGCAAGGAUCCUGGAGUGGAUUGCCAUUUCCUCCUCCAGGGGAUCUUCCUAACCCGGGGAUAGAACCCAAGUCUCCUGCACUGGCAGGCAGAUUCUUUGCCACUGAGCCAUGUGGAGGUGGGACACCUCAAAUUCUCCUCCAAGGUAAGCAACCACCUCUCUCUAUUUGCAAACUACUGGCCUUGACCAGCAAUCUCCCGACUGCAGUGUGUAUUUGUGUCUAUACACUCAUGCAGGCAGGCAGAAUUCCUGAUUAUCAGCUCAAAGGCAGGAACCAGAUUGAUUUUUAUCACUUAGCUCUUAAGGUCUUCCAUCCCCUAAUAUUUGCUUGGGUCCCCUUGAGGACUCGGUGUGGACUCGCUAUUAAAUAAGGCAAAGCCUGCCUCGCAGGGUGUGGGUGUGAGCGGUUCUGGCUGGUUGGAGUGGAGCAGGGCGGGGCAGAAGAUCUUUUCUAUCUAAGGCCUGGAAGGAGACAAGGCAAGAAAUAGAGUCAUCGUAAAAUUCACAUAGAAUCACAAAGGACCCCAAAGAGCUAACAGAAUAUUGAAAAAGAACAAACUUUUAUACUUCCUGACUUCAAAACUUAGUACUUUAAGCUAUAGUAAUCAAAACAAUAUGGUACCGGCUAAAAGACAGAAAUAGAGGUGAUGCAGAACAGAGAGCCCUGAAAUAAACCAUUACGCAUGCAGCAAAUGGUCAAGGUUGCCAAGAUCAUUCAAUAGCGAGAAGACAGUCUUGGCAAAUGAUGUAGGAAAAACAGGCUAUUCACAUGAUAAAAGAAUAAAGUUGGACCCUUAUCUCUCAGCCUACACAAAAUUUAACUGAAAAUGGAUCAAAGACCUAAGAACUAAAACUAUAAGACUCUUAGAAGAAAACACUGGAGGAAAUCAUAGUGGUAUUAGAUUUGGCAAUGAUUUCUUGAAUAUGACACCAGAAGCACAGGUAACAGAAGAAAAAAUAGACAAGUUGGACAUCAAAAUUAAAAACUUUUGUUCAUCAAAAGGACAUGAUCAACAGAGUAAAAAGACAGCCCACAGAAUGGGAGACAAUAUUUGCAAAUCAUAAAUCUGAUAAGGGAUUAAUAUAUUGAAUACAUAAAGAACUCUUAAAACUUAACAAUAACAACAGCAAAAAUUCAAAAGUAACCAAAGGACUUGAAUUGACAUUUUUCCAGUGAGGAAAUACAGCCAGCCAAUAAGCACUUGAAAAGAUGCUCAACAUCACUAAUCAUUAGGAAAAUGCAAAUCAAAACCACAAGAUAUCGCAUCAUAUCUAUCAGGAUGCCUAACAUCAAAAAAACAAAAAGGUAACAAGUACUGUUGAUGAUAUAGAGAAAUUGGAAUCUUUGUGCACUGCUUGUAUAAGAUGAUGCAGUUGCUAUGGAAAAUAUUAUGACGGUUCCUCAAAAUAUUAAAAAUAGAAUUUAUCAAGGUUCAGCAAUUCCACUUCUGGGUAUAUGCCUCCUCAAAAUUGAAAUCAUGAAGAGAUACUUGUGUACCUGUACUCACAGCAGCAUUAUUCCAAGAGCAAAUGGUGAAAUGUCCACGAUGGAUGAAGGGAAAACAAAAUGUGGUACAUACACACAACGGACUAUUAGCCUUAAAAAGGAAGGAAAUUCUGACACGUAACAUGGAUGAACCUUCAAGACAUUAUGCUAAGUGGAAUAAUCCAGGCACAAAAGAAUAAACAUCAUAUGAUUCCACUCUUAUGAGGUGCCUAGAGUAGUCAAAUUCAUAGACAGAAAUCAGAAUUAUGAUUGCCAGGGGCUGGAGAGAGGAGGAAAUGGGGGCUGCUGGAUAACAGGUAAAGAGUUUCAGUUUUGCAAGACGAAAAAGCUCUAUGGAUGGAUGCUAGUGAUAGUUGCACAAAAAUGUGAAUUUCUUUAAAGCCACUGAGAUGUACACUUAAAUAUAGUUAAAAUGGUAAAUUUUACAAUAUGUAUAUUUUCAGUUCAGUUCAGUCACUCAGUCGUGUCUGACUCUUUGCGACCCCAUGAAUUGCAGCACGCCAGGCCUCCCUGUCCAUCACCAACUCCCGGAGUUCACUCAGACUCAUGUCCAUUGAGUCAGUGAUGCCAUCCAGCCAUCUCAUCCUCUGUCAUCCCCUUCUCCUCUUGCCCCCAAUCCUUCCCAGCAUCAGAGUCUUUUCCAAUGAGUCAACUCUUCGCAUAAGGUGGCCAAAGUAUUGGAGUUUCAGCCUCAGCAUCAGUCCUUCCAAUGAAUACCCAGGACUGACUUCACUACAAUUUUUAAAAAAAGGCAAGAGCAUAGCUGAGGUGGGGGAAAAGGAUAGGGUGAAAUAGAUGGGUGUCAAGUUACAUUAAAGCAUUUUGGAUAAAUUUGUUGUGAAGAAUCAUUUUAUGAAGCUCUUGAUUGAUGUUUUUGUUCAUUAACAUUUUCAUCGAUCAGCUUCGCUUAGGCACACCUCCAUUACUAUUCACAUCGCUUCCAUUCUCCUUGAUCUCUAAAUGUUAAUGGGUCCUGAAGAACGUCUCUCUGAGACUCUCCUUUGCUGCUUGUAUCUGCAUGGCAGCGUCAGCCUUCUGUUUUCUCAUCUCAUUUUUGUGUGUGAGCUUUCUAUAAAUUAACAUCUCAUGCCUGACCUCUCUGCCAAGCUACAUGUUGACUGCAGCUGUCUGCUAGACAGUCCUCCAGCAUCUCAAACUCAGGUGGGCUCAAACUGGACUCAUCAGUUUGUCCCUUGUUCUGCUGAGUUUCUGGUUUCCAUGGAAGGCGCCAUCAUUUUUCUGGUGCCUCAAGUGUAAGACCAACAACUUUGAGUCCCGUGUCCCUCUCCCUUCUUUCAGAUCUGCUCAGCUAUCAGCACCAUGGUGUUUUCUAUCUGUGAGCAUCACAUCCUGCACAGGUGCCCUUUUUUCCCUGUGCACUGUCUAUGCUAGCCCAGCCCUAGGUCCACUCGUGAGUCUCUCCCUGUGGGCCUGCCACAUCCGUGCUGGGGGUGCAGCUGUGACCUAGCCAGAGGAAAGCCAGUCCUGUUCCCUCUAGUAGAAGAUCAGACACUUGGAUAGGGCUUACUCC
Molecule: long non-coding RNA, 3386 nt
Organism: Bos taurus (domestic cattle)
Lineage: Eukaryota; Metazoa; Chordata; Mammalia; Artiodactyla; Bovidae
Source: Ensembl